RNAcentral lists this long non-coding RNA (8006 nucleotides) under Ananas comosus (pineapple). RNAcentral describes it as "long non-coding RNA (ACOM_LNC032967)". The record is from RNAcentral. Lineage: Eukaryota; Viridiplantae; Streptophyta; Magnoliopsida; Poales; Bromeliaceae.
UAUUUCGGAAAAACUAAAUACUCCCAUAUUAAAGAACGCACUCAAACACUCUAGAAGAGUUCUCAACUUACUUGCGUGUAGGGAUGCCAACAGGUCGGAUUCAAGGCGGAUUUUGAAAAAUCCAAAUCCGAACUCGACGAAUUUUAAAAAUCCAUAUCUAAUCCUAAACCCGACUAAAAAUUCGAAACUCGAACCCAAAAAUCCGAACCCGAAAUAAUUAUUUCUCUUUACAAUAUUUCAAAAUAUGUUACAUUAAAUCUAAAUUUUUUAAAUGCAAAUUCAAAUACAACAUCAAAUACACACACACACACACACACACACACACACACACACACACAUAUAUAUAUAUAUAUAUAUAUAUAUAUAUAAUUCCGGGUUCGUGUUAGGUUCAGAUUUAGAUCGGUCACAAUCAAAAUCUAUAUCUGAAUCCAAAUCCAUCGGACUUCCGUUUUUUAUAUCCAUAUCCGAAACUGUAUUUAUUUAGCAUCGAGUAAAUCAAUUCCGUUCGGAUUCGAGUUCGGGUAAAAUUUUGGGUGUCUUGUGGAAAAAGUUGGCCUCAUGUUACUUUUAACAAUCAAAUACUAAAAAUUAUACUCCACCACCAGCUGUAUCUUUGCUUAAUUCUAUUAUUUUUUUUAAAAAAAAUUACUAUUGAUUGACUUAUUAGUUAUUUAUCAAUUUUCUCUACUGUACUUUAGAAUUUUCUUCUGAUACUAAGUUGUACAUUUUAUCAUUUUAGACAAAAAUUAGCAAUUAUUUUACGAGACACUUAUAUAUUGGUGGAUUAAAAAAAAAAAAAAGAAGCAUCUAGAGAGAUCUAUCAAAAUCCUAUGUCAAGUUAUUUUCAACUAUUUUUUUCUACUAUUUAUAGAUGCUUUCUUAUUUGUUUUUUCUGAACAUGGGCUAAAGAUCUAACUAACUCUCCUACUUCCAACCAACCUCUUUUUUUUUUUUUUUUUUUUUUAACUCCCCUAAAUCCAACCAACACUUGAUAGUGGUGUAUAAAACGAACGUGGUAAAUCAGAAAGUAAGAAAAUUUUUUAAGAAUAUAUAAGCAAUUGCCCGAAUAAACUAACACCAACAACGCGUGCAAAGUACUCAAAGAUAAGAAUACAAAAGGAAACACGGGAAGGGUACUACUUGAGACAAAAGUAUAUCAUGCUAUAUAUCAAGCUUUGCACAUGGUAUAUUUGUAUACACACGCAAGCACACACGUACACAUGAUGAUGAACUUAGCAAAAUCAAGCUGGAAAUUGAACGGUUGUGGUCGAAGAGGAGGCCCAUCUCACGUGAAGUUUUUGGAAAGUAUAUACCUACAUACACCCAACAAAUGCAAUGGGUAGUACAACUCAACUUUAAUUUGAGUACACUAUGGGCAUGUUUGUUUCAACGUAAGUAGACUUGGGGUGGAAGUGGACUUUGGGUUGAAGUGGAGUUGGGGUGAAAAUUAGUUCACUUCUGCUGUUUGUUUUUAACUGUGGAAGUGCAGUUCUGCGAGUUCUGUUGUUUGUUUGGUAGGAAAUAGAUGACGUAAAAAGUGUAGCUCUCCACCCCCGGUAUACUUACCUCCAAAGUCAUAUUAUUGUCUAUUUUAUAACUUAUAGUGAAUAAUAAAUUAUAAUAAAUAAAAAUUAAUAUAAUUAUAUAUGUAUAUAAUUAUAUAUAUGUAUAAUUAUAAAAUAAAAUUUUAAAAAAUUAUAUUAUUUGUUUGCAUAUAAAUUAUAAUAAUGCAACAAAUAAAAUUCUAAAGUUAAAAAAUUAUUAACAUUUAACAAAUUUAUUUUUCAUCAUUUUCUAAAUAUACAAAUUAAACAAAAAAUAUAUUAAAGCUUACCUAAUCAAAUUUGAUCAUAUUUUAGACAUACAAUCAAAAUAAAAAAUUUAAUUAUUUUCACAAUUGAAUAUAUUUGGAUGAAAUGAAGAGGUAACCCUAACACAUUAAUACAUUCUUGCCUUUUUUUCACUUCACCGAAAUUGACUUCGCCCCAUGGGAGGGCGAAGUCAAGUUCCUUAUUUUGGGUGAACUGAACUUUCGGGCGUAAUAAACUUACGAUGAACCAAAUAGCGAAAGUGGUUAGUUUUCACCGAAAAUCACUUUCCCCGUCCCACUUCCACCCCACUUCCGUCGAAACAAACAGGCCCUAUGCGUUGGAAAGGGAAAUUAAUGCAUGCAUUAAUUGGGUUCCUAACAAAUAACUCGCCAUAUAUAUAGUAUCCAUGUGUUGGCAAAUCCAUAGUGUGUAUAUAUAUCGCCAUAUAUAUAGUAUCCAUGUGUUGGCAAAUCCAUAGUGUGUAUAUAUAUCGCCAUAUAUAUAGUAUCCAUGUGUUGGCAAAUCCAUAGUGUGUAUAUAUAUCGCCAUAUAUAUAGUAUCCAUGUGUUGGCAAAUCCAUAGUGUGUGUAUAUAUAUAUAUACAGCAAAGUUACUGUACGAUCAAAAGUAUAGAGGAUCUAGUGAUUUCUAACUUUUUAGCCCUCAGAUCAGUUCCUCUAAUCAUUUCUAACCUUUAGAUUAAUACUAAUAAUACCCUGUGGAAACCACUCAACCCUAGAAAUACUACUCAACCCUAGGGAGACCGCAAUCAUCCCAAUCGUAUAAUUCUUGAUCCAAGGGUGAAAAAUUCGAAAGUAUUAAAUCCUUUAUACUUUCAAUAGUAUAAUAGCUUUACACACACAUACACACGCAUAUAUAUAUAUAUAUAUAUAUAUAUAUAUAUAUAUAUAUAUAGAGAGAGAGAGAGAGAGAGAGAGAGAGAGAGAGAGAGAGAGAGUAGGGCUACUAUACUCUUAUGAGUAUUAGGUCCUUCGUACUCAUAAGUUAUUUUUAAUGAUGAAGUCUUCGAAUUGACGAUCCACUUCGUUAAAUAUGAUUAGAGUAUUUGAAACUUCUAAAAAAUAAAUUUCCUAAUUUUUUGAAAUCAUAAUGAAGUCUAUCAAGCAGGUAUAAGAUGAACAGUCAAAAUGGAACGACGUCCUAAAAAUGGAUGAUCGGAUCCUUCAAUUUAAGAUCAAAGUUAUUGAUCUUUAUCUAGGUAGUGAAUAGAAUUAUCUAUCAAAAAUUCAAUAGAUUCUAAUUCUUUUACACCGUUAAACUAGCAAGUAUUUCAAAUCGACCAUUAAAAAUUGUCAAUUUUGUGACUUUUUGAUCGUAAAUGAUGCCGAAAAAUUAUGAAAUUUGAUUUCUAGAAGUUUUAAAUACUCUAGAUAAUGUUUAACGGUAUGGAUCGUCAAUUCGCAAGCUCUAUCAUCAAAAACGACUUAUGAGAAUAAAAGCGAUUGUAUUCACAAGAGUAUAGCAGCCGAACUCUAUAUAAUUAUAUCUUUUUUGUACCUUUCGGUAGCGUUUGGAUUUGGUACAAGAAGGGGGAUAAGGAGGUUAUCCCCCCUCUUAUACCCAAACAGGAAAUGGGUGGGUGGGUAGGAGGGUGCGGUGCGAACAGUUGCUUCCACUCCAUUUACCCGGUCAUAUAUGAGGUACCUAAGUAUUUCCCACCAUACCCGGUAUGUAUGGGUAGGAACAACUUGUUCCCACCUACCGGUAUGUAUGGGUACCAAGUAUUCCCACCCAUACCCGGUAUGUAUGGGUAGGAACAACUUGUUCCCACCCAGGGGUGGGAACAAGCUCCACCCCCCCCCCCCCCCCCGGUCGAGAGAGAGAGAGAAAGAGAGAGAGAGAGAUUUAUUUUAAAUUUAAAUUAAAUUUUUAAAAUUUAUAAUCUCAAAAUUAAUUAUAAAUUUUAAAGUUUAAAUUUUAAAUUUGAUAUUUUUAAAUUUUAAAUUUUAAAUUUGAUAUUUUUAAAUUUUAAAUUUGAUAUUUUAUAUCUUUCAAAUUUAAAUUUAGUCUUAAAUUUAGAAUUUAAAAUUUAAAAUUUAUAAAUUUGAAUUUUUAAAUUUUAAUUUCAAAUUUUAAAAUUUAAAAGUUAAAAUUUUCAAUUUAAAAUUAUAAGUUUAAAAUUUAAAAAUUUAAAUUCAAUUAUAGGGGUAAUAUCAUUAUUUUCUAUUUAUAGCCAUCAACUAUUUCUGUUAUUUCCAAUAACCAUCAAAACACAAUUUUUCUACUUCCAGCUUAUACUCACAUUUUCAUCCAAACAAAAAAAUACCCUUAUUAUUACAAAAAAAACUCAUACUUGUACCUAUUUCCGGUAUAACUAAUUCCUACUAAUUUCCAAACCAAAUGAAGCCUUUAUAUGUUCUGCUUAUCAGCAACUUAUAAGAAAAGCAUUCAUAGAGACAUACAAUGGUACUCUUAUUGAAUGAAUAAAUAUUUUAUUUAAAAUAUAGCUGAAAUUUAAAGUGCUUGAUCUAAUGUCUAAAAUGAAAUAUUAUAUUCGACUUUCACGUUAUCUUUUUCGAAAUAAUUAAGAAAAUUCAUCUCCCAAGUAAAAUAUAUAUAGUAUCCUUCCAAAUCGUGAAUAUCAUUAUCUUAAUUCAAAGAGCAAACUUAGACAAACUCCCACAAUCAUAAUAUAUAUAUUUUUUAUUUUGAAUAAAAUAUUUUUUUUUAUUUUCUGAUUCUAGCGUCCAAACGAAACGCGAUUUUCCUAACUAGGAUAAAAAUUCUUUUGUUACUUAUGUAAGGUUACUUCAAUCUAUUUCUAAUAUAUUCCUAGAGUUAAAAUCUUUUAAUUAACUCUGUUAUCUCUGUAAAAUUACUAUUUUGCCCUUUCAAAUAUACCCUUCGACAAUCACUUUCUUUCUUAUUUGUCCUUAAAGUCAGGGGCACAAAAAGUAUUUUAACUUUUGGUCUUUUCCAAUAUAUUCCUCUACCGUCACCAACCUUUCUUAUUUGCCCUUAAGUUAAGGACAAAAUUGGCAUUUUAAUUUUUUUUAAUUGUGGUAGAUAUUUAACUCACAUUUAACCCAGGUUAACUUAACAGGAGAUAACUGCGGAGGUAUUUUGCAAUAACGAUGGAACAUAUGAGAAAUAUUUAAAAAAGAAAAAAAAGUAAAAAUAAAUCGAAUAUUUUCAAACGUAUGAGAAGUAUAUAGACAAUUAUCCCUAAUAUUUAAGUGUCGCACUGGAGGAGUACUCUCUGUCUAGCUAGUACAAUGAUGUAUUUUCCAAUUCUUAUUUGCAAGAAAAAUGAUUUUUUGUGGAGAUUAAUUAUUUGUGGCUAAGUAAUUAGUGCACCCCACCUUGCUUUUGUUGUGAUAUUUCAUUUUCUAUAUAUUUCUAUACGAGUACGUCUUCUGUACUUUCAAGAAUACGGAGAUCUCCAUACUUAUAAAUUCUUUUCAAUGACAGGACAGACGAUUUGACGGCUCUAUUAGUUAUAAUCUAUGCUAUUAGAAUUAUUUAAAAUUAAAUUUUAUAAUUUUUUUAACAUCAUUUAUCAAGUGAUCAAAACGUCUCAAAAAUGACCAUUUUAAUGAUUGAUGUGGCAUGUUUUUAAGUUCAAUGGUAUAGAACAAUUCAAAUUACGUGAAACUUUAAUAGAAAAUUUUACUUAAUAUCAAAUAGUAAGAUCAAUACUUCUUAUUUAAAUUGAGUUUUUUAUCACCAUUUUUUAUGAGAUUUUUAUUUUUAGCCGUUUAUUUUGAGGCUACGAGGCUACGAGACUACUCGUUCACUAAGCAAAUGAAGUCAAAAAAUUAUGAAAUUUGGUUUCUAAAUAGUUCUAAUAGUAUAUAUCAUAUUUAACAGAACUGAUCGCCGAAUCGAAUACCCUAUCAUCUAAAAUAAUUUAUAAACACGAAUGCUUCCAUACUUUCGAAAGCAUAGGUGCCUAACUCUAUAUAUAAAUAUGUAUAUAAAGUACUAAGCUAUCAGUACCAAACGGGCUCAGUUGCCACCCAUUUAUUUUUUAUAAUGAAACUUUGAAAUCGACGAUCGGCACCGUUGAAUAUAAUUUAUACCACUUGAAACAUCUUUUUUUGAUAUUAUUCUUUUAUUCAUCAAAUAGACACAAAAAGAAAUGAAUAUCUUUUAAAAAUGUUGAUAGAAAUCUUGUGAUCAAGAUGAAGAGUAUAAAUUUUGUUUUAAAUAGUUUAAAGAGAAUUUUUUAACCAAAAUUCAAUUGUAUCUUUAUGCCGUUAAACAAGAAAACGUCUCAAAUUGACCAUUAAAAUUAUAAAUUUUGAAACCCUUUGAUUAUUAGGUCAAUGAUAUCGAAAAGAUUUGAAAUUUAGUUUUUAGAUAAUUCAAGUGAUAUAAAUCAUAUUCAACAAUGCCUAUCGUCGAUUUGGAGACUUCAUCGUUAAAAAUAAAUAGGUGGUAAUGGAGCUCAUUUUUUACUGAUAGUAUUCCAACUCAACUCUAUAUAUACAUAGAAUAGAGAGAGAGAGUCUGGCUAUGGUGUUUUUAAAAGCACCAAGUAUAUAUUUGGUGCUUGUAGUUUCUUAUUGUUAGAUUUAUUCCUUUGACCAAUUUCACCUCCAACCAUCCACUCAAUCUUAGGGAAUUAUUAUCAUCAUAACCGUACAUUUCUUAAUCCAAGGGAAGAAAAAGUAUAAGCACCAACAACUCGGUAAUUUUAAAAGUAUAAGAGCUCAAUUAUAUAUAUAUAUAUAUAUAUAUUCUCAAGAGUCUUAACUAUUCAAAAGGCUUGCUUGGUUCACCUAUUUUAAACUCUAAAAUUAAAAUGAGAUUUAGUACUGAUUCAACGGUUUAUAUAUUCAAAAUCUUAACCGUGGUUUUGGUUAAUAAUUAAGUGGAGUAUGAUCCUAGUCUCAUAACUUAUUGGAUUCAAACUAAUUGGACCCGAUCUUGUGGAUUCGACCCGAAUUUCCCACACUAUAUAAUUUAUAUUUACAGUAUCCCCCUUUGAAUUCGCCUCCAUGUUCAAAAUUAUAUAUAACUCAUCUUCUAAUAUGAAGUGUAAUAUACUUAUUAUUAGGCUCUUAUAUAUAUUCUCUCGGAGAUAUCAUGUAACAUGUUUAGUACAUAAGUCUCAUAAUAAAAAAAAUUAUAUGUGUACUUUUUGUGCCCCUCGUUAACACAAUAAUAUUGCACUAGAUAAAGCAAUGAUGAUGGACCAUGAAUUGUACACCUGGCUAGUAUAAUUUGUCAUCACUAUAUCAUUUAGAAGGAUAAUAUAUAUAUAUAUAUAUAUAUAUAUAUAUAUAUAUAUAUAUAUAUAUAGAGAGAGAGAGAGAGAGAGAGAGAGAGAGAGAGAGAGAGAGAGAGAGAAGCACGAUGCCAAACGAUGUCUGAAAUUUUGAUUUAAUUAAUUACUUAUUCCGACAUAAUACGCAUUUUUUAUAAAGUUCGGCUAUGAUGCUUUUAAUAAUACAUAAAUAGUAUUGUAACAUUUUAUUAUUAAUAUGAAUUUUAAUAACUUUUGCAUAACCUAUACUUGCAUUUAUAGUUGUGCAAGUAAAGUUACCAUUUCAUUUAGUUUGUAUUCAUUGUGAACUUAUAUUUGAACCUAAAUAUAAGUUCGUUUACGCAUGUAAACUCCUACGGCACUAACUAUGUAACCUAUGGGUUUAAUACUCUUAUAACCUAUAGAUUUGUAUGCCUAUAUAAAGAGGGCUUCUCUAUUCACUUUCAUAUAACUCAACAAAGACAACAAAUUUAUUUCUAUUAUACUUGAGAGAGAGAAGGUCAAAGAAAGAUAUUUUUUUUUGUGGACCUUUGGGCUCAUCUACUUGUGUAGAGUUGAUGAAGCCACACGACAAGAGUCGAGCCAUUGUAUCCUGGAGGAGACAAGUCGGUGCUCUCCUGCAUCGGUUCAAAAGCUUUACCAAGCGGAGAGGGUUUGAAUCUCCUUAAAGAUAGCGAGAUAUCCGUGCCUCGGCUUGAUCGACUCGUUGACACUUUUUAAAUUAUUUUGUAGCUAACCUCUAUUUUUUAAAUAUUUACACCAACAAUAUAUAUACUGUCAACUUUUUAGCUCUUAGAUUAGAUAAUAUUCCACCUACGUGCGUACCCCUACUAAAUCUUAGAUAUCUGGCCAAGGAUUAAAAAAUUAGAAGCGAGAAUUAUUCAUAUAUAUGCUAGGAGAAACACUCCAGCUAGGCACUAUUAUUAUUAUUAUUAUUAUACAUAUUGUGCAGAUUUUAUGGA